RNAcentral lists this long non-coding RNA (298 nucleotides) under Homo sapiens (human). RNAcentral describes it as "PREDICTED lncRNA (TCONS_00110319)". Lineage: Eukaryota; Metazoa; Chordata; Mammalia; Primates; Hominidae. The record is from RNAcentral.
GAGCUAUCAGCUUCCCAGUUUGCACAAUUCAUCAAGAAAUUAUGCGGGGUCACUGGCACAAAUGAUGAGGCAUCUCCUGGAAGCUUAACUUCUUAUCCAUCCCAUCUCUUGGACAGAUGAUGCCAGUUAAUUACUUUGAAUGUGCUGUGGCUCACACCUGUAAUCCCAGCACUUUGGGAGGCCAAGGCGGGUGGAUCACUUGAGGUCAGAAGUUCAAGACCAGCCUGGCCACUUGAACCGAGGAAGAGGUUGCAGUGAGCCAAGGUCAUGCCACUGUACUCCAGCCUGGGCGACAGAG